GUGGCCACGCAGGCAGGCAGCUCCAGAGUGUGGCUGUCCUUGUCACUCUCCCUAAGCAGAUGGAUUUCAGUUCACUCUCCCUAGAAGAAGUUCUGGAGCAGUCCAGGGGCCACCAGCGGGGCAGUCG
This 127-nucleotide microRNA precursor is filed under the name Mus pahari (shrew mouse). Its description in RNAcentral is "miRNA (MGP_PahariEiJ_G0007609.1)". The record is from RNAcentral. Lineage: Eukaryota; Metazoa; Chordata; Mammalia; Rodentia; Muridae.